CAUCUUUGUGCCGGGCAGCGCUCCCGCCUCGCCGCCAUCUUUGAGCGGGGCGCUCCCGGCCGCCUGCCAUUCAUCGGGCGGGAGGAAAGCCGCGCGAGCAGUUUGAAUGAACGCUUGUAGGAGCGACCGAACAAAGGCACCCCGGGCAGGAGGUGGCCCGGGCCAUUGGCAGCGCUGGGAGCAGAGCUGAGCACAGAAAGUGCACCUCAACACCGUGCAGUGGUAAAAGAUAACAGUGGAGAAGCCAGCACAGCCGAGCUCUGGUGCAGUCAGUGUCCAUCAGGGCCCUCCUGAUCCCGAGUGUGGAAUUACUGCCUUGCUGCACUGCGGGGCUGUUCUGAAAAUGCACUCUGAAACAGAAGAGACAACAAGAAAGGAAGUGAAAGCCGUUCACAUAUCUGCUUUACCUACAUUACUUCUUGGAUGAAUGAAAAGCAAAGCAACACUGACAAAAAAUAGCAAUAUUAAACUGCUCUUCUUUAACAGCCCCCUCCAUUAAUACUGAUAUUUUGUCCAGCAGCUUUCCCAGGGUUGUACAGCUUUGCGAAGUAGAUGUGAUGGGAAACAGCCUCACCUGCUGGUUUGAGGAGACACAGCCAGGUGCCCACACAGCUCAGUACUCCUCCCCUCACAUCUCCAGCACCCCAAAGGAAAAUCACCUUUCUUCUUUGCUGCUGCACUGUAUAAUAUAGCAGCAGCAAAAGUGUUUGAUAGAGAUCUUUGCUGCUGUUCUGUUAAAUUCAUUUUCAAAAGCGGAAACAAGAAAUAAAAACAGAAGACUGUGCUGUCUUAUCUCAUUAAAGGUAGGACUUUUUAUUAAGAAGUGCUGUUUUAUCUGUGUCCUGAAACAAUCACAGAAGAGUGACAAACAAAGCUGAUGUCAGGUCACCACGAAACUACACACGUUUCUUUUGCUGCUUUUUCUGUCUCAGUUAAAUCAAGCUGUAAACUCCUGAUAGGGCAUGUAUGUAAGCCCAACACAUCUCCUCCUACAGACUGUCCAUCUUCUGCCUUUGCAAGAAGCUGCUGCCCACCCUUAUCACUGGUACAUGCCCAUGCACAGGUGUGCUCACUUCCCAGGGCCGCAGGAUGCUAUGCAGGAGCACAUUCCUUCAGCGUGCUGGUCCAAAGUUAGUAGAAUUUCCAAAUGAAUCAUUUCAUUUUGCUGGUUAAGACUCUAAUGACUGUCAUUAGUUCACGAUCUUGAUUGAGAAAACGUUUACAAAACAGGGGUCACAAUGUUAUUUACAUCCCCCCUCGGCUUCAUAACUGCACACUUCCUUUAAAUAGGACCGAUCUGACUUUCAGAGGACUGAUGGCUUCCAGUUCCCAUGAGAAACAGAAGGCUCUGCACUCACUUCAUGCUUCCAAACGUCAGGCCAUGGUAUUUCAAUGGCCGUGCUCAGAUCGGGGAGCUCAGAUUAAAAGAUGUGCAGGAAGGGGCUAAAAGUAGAUGGAAGCAAACUGAAAACUUCAAUAGAAAUGAGCAAGCAGAUGGCAGUUAUAAAGAUGCACGUAAAGAGUCGUACUCCUUCCAAUUCCUGACCGCUUCCCAGGGGCUCUGCUGAGCUUUGAGAAGUCAGUUGAUUUCAUUCCCCCAUCCAUUUUGCCCAUUUGGCUCUUCCUGUGGAAUAUCCUUUGCCAGAUUGACACCAUCAGUCUGCAGGCCAAGUCAUUCUGCUUAUCCAUUAUUGUUUCUAGAAACAAGGGACCAUUGAACACAGUGACAAAGAGCUAUUAGAAAGAAAAGAAAAAAAAGAAAAAAAAAAGGAAAAAUAAACCAACAAACAAACCCAACAUCCAUAUAGGCUUAUCAGGAAUUGUAUCAACCUCACAAUGGAUUUUAGAAAUGAGUCUUUGAUUCAUAAUCAAAGAUGCCUUAUCUGACACCCAGUGAGAUGUAACAGUUUUCCUUUCUGCUGGAGUACUCCACUUGCUAUAUUGGUUUGGACAAGGACAGUGCAGUGUGGGUUUUUCUUAUCUUCCCUGUAUGUAUAUAUAUGAAUCUGCAUACACGUUGUAACAAUGCAAAUAAAUUACAGUAAACUAUGUACAUGGCAAAGUGAUAGUUUGCUCUGAAUAAGAAUGAAGAGUUCUGUGACAUCUUCCACCCUUCCCUCGGUCACUGCUGCCCUGUGUCAUUCCACCAAGCUUUUUCUUCUCAAUUCAGUAUGGAACAGUCCAAUAAAAUGCAGAAAUCAAAACCAGAGAUGAAACUGA
This is a long non-coding RNA of Phasianus colchicus (ring-necked pheasant), 2220 nucleotides long. RefSeq lists it as uncharacterized. The record is from RefSeq and is a predicted model, not a curated record. NCBI's taxonomy places the organism in Eukaryota, Metazoa, Chordata, Aves, Galliformes, Phasianidae.